AUACGUAGGGGGCGAGCGUUGUCCGGAAUUACUGGGCGUAAAGGGCGCGUAGGCGGCCUUUUAAGUCAGGCGUGAAACCCCCGGGCUUAACCUGGGGCAUGCGCAUGAGACUGGAAGGCUUGAGUGCAGGAGAGGAAAGCGGAAUUCCUAGUGUAGCGGUGAAAUGCGUAGAUAUUAGGAGGAACACCAGUGGCGAAGGCGGCUUUCUGGACUGUAACUGACGCUGAGGCGCGAAAGCGUGGGGAGCAAACAGGAUUAGAUACCCUGGUAGUCCACGCUGUAAACGAUGGAUACUAGGUGUAGGGGGUAUCGACCCCCCCUGUGCCGGAGUUAACACAAUAAGUAUCCCGCCUGGGGAGUACGGCCGCAAGGUUGAA
RNAcentral lists this ribosomal RNA (377 nucleotides) under uncultured bacterium. Its description in RNAcentral is "bacterial SSU rRNA". It matches the Rfam family "Bacterial small subunit ribosomal RNA", at positions 523 to 898 of the family's 1533-position model. The record is from RNAcentral.